CCUAGGGGGGCAGCAGUGGGGAAUCUUGCGCAAUGGGCGAAAGCCUGACGCAGCAACGCCGCGUGGGGGACGAAGGCUCUCGGGUUGUAAACCCCUUUCAGGAGGGACGAAAUUGACGGUACCUCCAGAAGAAGCCCCGGCCAACUACGUGCCAGCAGCCGCGGUAACACGUAGGGGGCGAGCGUUGUCCGGCUUUAUUGGGCGUAAAGAGCUCGUAGGUGGCUCGGUAAGUCGGGUGUGAAAUUUCGAGGCUCAACCUCGAGACGCCACCUGAUACUGCUGUGGCUAGAGUCCGGUAGGGGAGCGUGGAAUUCCUGGUGUAGCGGUGAAAUGCGCAGAUAUCAGGAGGAACACCAGCGGCGCAGGCGGCGCUCUGGGCCGGUACUGACACUGAGGAGCGAAAGCGUGGGGAUCAAACAGGAUUAGAUACCCUGGUAGUC
This 440-nucleotide ribosomal RNA is filed under the name uncultured bacterium. RNAcentral's name for it is "partial 16S ribosomal RNA". It matches the Rfam family "Bacterial small subunit ribosomal RNA", at positions 338 to 795 of the family's 1533-position model. The record is from RNAcentral.